AAGUCGUAACAAGGUUUCCGUAGGUGAACCUGCGGAAGGAUCAUUAAUGAAUUCUGAAAGGGGUUGUUGCUGGCCGUCAGCGGCAUGUGCACGCCCUGAUCACUAUCCAUCUCACACACCUGUGCACACACUGUAGGUCGGUUUGUGGCUGGAGUGGGCACUCUGUGUCUGCUUUGGUUGUAGGCCUUCCUAUGUUUUAUUACAAACUACAGUUUAAAGAAUGUCACUCUUGCGUCUAACGCAUUUAAAUACAACUUUCAGCAACGGAUCUCUUGGCUCUC
This 281-nucleotide unclassified non-coding RNA is filed under the name Fomitopsis sp. RNAcentral's name for it is "partial internal transcribed spacer region". The stretch from base 1 to 46 matches the Rfam family "Eukaryotic small subunit ribosomal RNA", at positions 1786 to 1831 of the family's 1831-position model. The record is from RNAcentral. Lineage: Eukaryota; Fungi; Basidiomycota; Agaricomycetes; Polyporales; Fomitopsidaceae.